This 443-nucleotide long non-coding RNA is filed under the name Mytilus galloprovincialis (Mediterranean mussel). The record is from RNAcentral. Lineage: Eukaryota; Metazoa; Mollusca; Bivalvia; Mytilida; Mytilidae.
UUUUUUCAGAAGGAAUAGAUGGAUCAAUAUUACACACAACAGGAUGUAAUCGUGUUUGUUUCUCUUGUGAUAGUUUUGGUUUUUAUCGUUGUUAUGGUUACUGUUUUAAGCAUUGUGGCGUCACGAUGGAGGAAUGUGCGCGAUGAUAUGGAUGGACUGACAGACAAUGCAGAAAUAGCAACUGAUAUGUCAGUUAGGUCAGUCCAAGGAACAUACAGGACAUUGCCGGACUGAAGUGGAAAUGCAGAACAAAAACGAAAAUAUAUUUCAUGAUUCCAUUAAUCAGAACAGAGAAAACUAAGACUCAAACUUUGUACGUUUUUAGAAAGAAUGAUUUGGCUUGUUAAAAGUCUUUACAUACGAUGGAUUUUUGACUUGAGAAUUGCAUUUAAUGUACUUAUACCAUUCAUGUAUAUACAAUCUUUAAUGGAGAGAAAACAUUA